RNAcentral lists this long non-coding RNA (686 nucleotides) under Homo sapiens (human). Its description in RNAcentral is "HSALNT0340546". The record is from RNAcentral. Lineage: Eukaryota; Metazoa; Chordata; Mammalia; Primates; Hominidae.
CAUUAGAGAAAUCAAAGAUUUGUAUCUUUAUUAAGACAGUUUGCCAACAGUUGGAAGUACUAUAAAGUAUCUUGAAGAAGGGAUGGGGAUGGUUGUCUUUUUCUAAUUUGCACAAAGGUGCCUUUGGGCUAGCAGCAGCCUGGUUAGUGCAACCAGACAUAUGCACCAAGAGAGGAAGUAACACUCAGGAAGUGGUCAACCUUGCUGCAGGGCAUCAGCGGAGGUUUCACAGAGGAAGUUUACCUUGAGAAGAGAAAGGUGAAAAGAGCAGAACAGCUUCAAAUCCAGGAAAUGACAAACAAAGGCAGAGUGAGCAGAAACAAGAACUGCUGAAGUGUAAAGCGCAGGAGAGAAGCCACAGGAAGCAUGUCCAGAAAUGGAGGGGUGAGAGCAUAGUGGGUGAUUACUGCUAAGAAAGACCCUCGACCCUGAGCUGUCGGACUCUGCAGAUGAGGGGCUACAGAAAAAUCUCUCUGGGACAGGGGUGGGCAGAUGGGGGAGAGAAGGCAAUGCAGCAGGACUGCCAGAGGACACCAAAGCCCAGAGCUAAGACCAAGGAUGAUGGAGCUAACAAAGAUACAUACUUUAGAAGAAAAGAAAAUAGACAGGGAAGCUUGAGGAGCUACAAGGUCCAGAGUGUCCGUGGGGAAAGGCAAACCUGCCGCUGAGUUGGAAGACAACAGCUG